GUGUGUUCCAGGUAAAUCCGGUUCACUUUAACACUGAGGCGUGAUGACGAGGCACUACGGUGCUGAAGCAACAAAUGCCCUGCUUCCAGGAAAAGCCUCUAAGCAUCAGGUAACAUCAAAUCGUACCCCAAACCGACACAGGUGGUCAGGUAGAGAAUACCAAGGCGCUUGAGAGAACUCGGGUGAAGGAACUAGGCAAAAUGGUGCCGUAACUUCGGGAGAAGGCACGCUGACAUGUAGGUGAAGUGAUUUACUCAUGGAGCUGAAGUCAGUCGAAGAUACCAGCUGGCUGCAACUGUUUAUUAAAAACACAGCACUGUGCAAACACGAAAGUGGACGUAUACGGUGUGACGCCUGCCCGGUGCCGGAAGGUUAAUUGAUGGGGUCAGCGCAAGCGAAGCUCCUGAUCGAAGCCCCGGUAAACGGCGGCCGUAACUAUAACGGUCCUAAGGUAGCGAAAUUCCUUGUCGGGUAAGUUCCGACCUGCACGAAUGGCGUAAUGAUGGCCAGGCUGUCUCCACCCGAGACUCAGUGAAAUUGAACUCGCUGUGAAGAUGCAGUGUACCCGCGGCAAGACGGAAAGACCCCGUGAACCUUUACUAUAGCUUGACACUGAACAUUGAGCCUUGAUGUGUAGGAUAGGUGGGAGGCUUUGAAGCGUGGACGCCAGUCUGCGUGGAGCCGACCUUGAAAUACCACCCUUUAAUGUUUGAUGUUCUAACGUGGAUCCGUAAUCCGGGUUGCGGACAGUGUCUGGUGGGUAGUUUGACUGGGGCGGUCUCCUCCUAAAGAGUAACGGAGGAGCACGAAGGUUGGCUAAUCCUGGUCGGACAUCAGGAGGUUAGUGCAAUGGCAUAAGCCAGCUUGACUGCGAGCGUGACGGCGCGAGCAGGUGCGAAAGCAGGUCAUAGUGAUCCGGUGGUUCUGAAUGGAAGGGCCAUCGCUCAACGGAUAAAAGGUACUCCGGGGAUAACAGGCUGAUACCGCCCAAGAGUUCAUAUCGACGGCGGUGUUUGGCACCUCGAUGUCGGCUCAUCACAUCCUGGGGCUGAAGUAGGUCCCAAGGGUAUGGCUGUUCGCCAUUUAAAGUGGUACGCGAGCUGGGUUUAGAACGUCGUGAGACAGUUCGGUCCCUAUCUGCCGUGGGCGCUGGAGAACUGAGGGGGGCUGCUCCUAGUACGAGAGGACCGGAGUGGACGCAUCACUGGUGUUCGGGUUGUCAUGCCAAUGGCACUGCCCGGUAGCUAAAUGCGGAAGAGAUAAGUGCUGAAAGCAUCUAAGCACGAAACUUGCCCCGA
RNAcentral lists this ribosomal RNA (1298 nucleotides) under Salmonella enterica subsp. enterica serovar Infantis. RNAcentral's name for it is "partial 23S ribosomal RNA". It matches the Rfam family "Bacterial large subunit ribosomal RNA", at positions 1525 to 2802 of the family's 2925-position model. Lineage: Bacteria; Pseudomonadati; Pseudomonadota; Gammaproteobacteria; Enterobacterales; Enterobacteriaceae. RNAcentral also lists the same sequence under 1 other name. The record is from RNAcentral.